GACGUAGGAGGCGAGCGUUAUCCGGAUUUACUGGGCGUAAAGGGCAAGUAGGCGGUUGUCAAAGUUGGGCGUGACAGCUCCCGGCUCAACUGGGGGUAGGCGUUCAAAACUAGGCGACUAGAGGGCAGGAGAGGGAAGUGGAAUUCCCAGUGUAGCGGUGGAAUGCUCAGAUAUUGGGAAGAACACCAGUGGCGAAGGCGGCUUCCUGGUCUGCACCUGACGCUGAGAGGCGAAAGCUAGGGGAGCGAACGGGCUUAGAUACC
This 263-nucleotide ribosomal RNA is filed under the name uncultured bacterium. RNAcentral's name for it is "partial 16S ribosomal RNA". It matches the Rfam family "Bacterial small subunit ribosomal RNA", at positions 524 to 786 of the family's 1533-position model. The record is from RNAcentral.